GAGGAACCCCUCAGAAGUGAGACUUUCCUCUUACAGCAUCCUACCGGAGGCCCACGGGGCCAAUCUGGCCAUCGCUGGUGAUGAUAACCCUCAUCGCUUGGGUAUGAUGGUGUCUGCCGCCAUUCCCCACUGAAAAGUUAAUUAGUUAAAAGCCAGCCCUCAAGGAGGAGGGAAAGGGGAAGUAGGAAAAAGGAAGAAAUGAAUGGUCUGAGAGUUCCCUCUGUUUGCAAGUGAACAGUGAGCCUGCCAGUGUUCUGAACAUGGGCAAGACAUGAGACACCUGAGUCUGAGACAAAGACUUUGUUACUCACAGCACAGCAGGCAGCACGAGCUUCAUAUUCCCCCCAGCCCCCCAGCCCCACGGACAAUGAGGAGUGGCUCCGGUGGAUGCUGUACACACAGCUAAGGAACCCUGGGUUAGGAAACACCAGUCAUUUAAAGGACUGCUAGCAAACCUGCCCAGUUUCUGCCCAGAGGGAGAAGCCAUCUUUAUUAUCUUGGACAGCAAGCAAAUUUGCCCUCUACCUGGAGGGAGACACAUGCACGAUGCUGAGGAUUCACGUGUGGACAUUGGGACCCCGGGGCCUGAGCUGAGACCCCAGCACUGCCCUUUACUCUCUGGGACCUUGGACAAGUGACCCAACCUCUCUGUGCCUCGCUGUCCUCAUCUGGAAAAUUGAGAUAAUAACUGUAUCCAGGUCACUGCUUUCUUAGGAAGAUUAGCAAGACCAGUAUACAACGUGCCAGGGUCAUCUAUGCUGGGAAGGGCUGAGUGGGCUGCAGACAGGGCCAUGGAUGGCCUCUCUGAGCAGGUGCUUUUGAGACCAGAGCAGUGGAAGUGGGGAGCAACCUUGCAGCUGGUCUGGGUCAGGCGCAGGGCAAAAGCCCAGGGCAGGGAGCACUUCAGGUGCUCGAGAAGUGGUGAGAAUCCACGGGGAGCAAGAGCCCAGGAAGCCAGGCAUCGACAACGGAGUUCCCUCUGAGCACCUGAGACGGCAGUGCCGGGGACUCCUGAGCAGAGGCCAAUGCAGCCAACUUGCAUUUAAGGGGCCCGCUGGCUGUCGUGGAAGUGCCUGGAUACUCAGGAAGAGCUACAAGCAUCUGGAGGCGGCCCAAGGGUGCAGAGUUUGAUUCUUUCCAUCGACAUGUUACUGGUGAAAGGUAUCUGAGUUACUGGCAGUGAAUCCGUACAGGUCUGCGCAACCUCAAUUCUUGCCUCCUCAGAAGAAUUCGACCAAUGGGCAUAAGCAGAAGGAGAAACUGAG
Molecule: long non-coding RNA, 1265 nt
Organism: Pan troglodytes (chimpanzee)
Lineage: Eukaryota; Metazoa; Chordata; Mammalia; Primates; Hominidae
Exons: 3
Source: RefSeq, a predicted model, not a curated record